CCUACGGGAGGCAGCAGUGGGGAAUAUUGCUCAAUGGGGGAAACCCUGAAGCAGCGACGCCGCGUGGGGGAUGAAGGUUUUCGGAUUGUAAACCCCUUUUGUCAGAGAAGAAAAUGACGGUAUCUAACGAAUAAGCACCGGCUAACUCCGUGCCAGCAGCCGCGGUAAUACGGAGGGGGCAAGCGUUAUUCGGAUUCACUGGGCGUAAAGAGCGCGUAGGCGGGAUAGCAAGUCAGAUGUGAAAUCCUAUGGCUUAACCAUAGAACUGCAUUUGAAACUGUUAAUCUGGAGUAUGGGAGAGGUAGGUGGAAUUCUUGGUGUAGGGGUAAAAUGCGUAGAGAUCAGGAGGAAUACUCGUUGCGAAGGCGACCUGCUAGAACAUAACUGACGCUGAUGCGCGAAAGCGUGGGGAGCAAACAGGAUUAGAUACCCCGGUAGUC
RNAcentral lists this ribosomal RNA (440 nucleotides) under uncultured bacterium. RNAcentral describes it as "partial 16S ribosomal RNA". It matches the Rfam family "Bacterial small subunit ribosomal RNA", at positions 338 to 795 of the family's 1533-position model. The record is from RNAcentral.